RNAcentral lists this transfer RNA (73 nucleotides) under Schistosoma margrebowiei. It matches the Rfam family "tRNA". Rfam says of the family: Transfer RNA (tRNA) molecules are approximately 80 nucleotides in length. Lineage: Eukaryota; Metazoa; Platyhelminthes; Trematoda; Strigeidida; Schistosomatidae. The record is from Rfam by way of RNAcentral.
GGCUCCAUGGCCUAAUGGUUAAGGCAUCUGACUUCGCAUCAGAAGAUUGCGGGUUCGAGUCCCGUCGGGGUCG